UGCCAGCAGCCGCGGAAAUACGGAGGGUGCAAGCGUUGUUCGGAAUUAUUGGGCGUAAAGCGUGCGUAGGCGGACUGUUUAGUCUGAUGUGAAAUCCCGCGGCUCAACCGCGGACGUGCAUUGGAUACUGGCAGUCUUGAGUCCUGGAGAGGAGAGCGGAAUUCCUAGUGUAGAGGUGAAAUUCGUAGAUAUUAGGAGGAACACCAGCGGCGAAAGCGGCUCUCUGGACAGUGACUGACGCUGAGGCACGAAAGCAUAGGUAGCGAACAGGAUUAGAUA
Molecule: ribosomal RNA, 279 nt
Filed under: uncultured bacterium
Lineage: Bacteria
Description: partial 16S ribosomal RNA
Rfam family: Bacterial small subunit ribosomal RNA
Source: RNAcentral